This 287-nucleotide long non-coding RNA is filed under the name Selaginella moellendorffii. RNAcentral describes it as "long non-coding RNA (SMOE_LNC001380)". The record is from RNAcentral. Lineage: Eukaryota; Viridiplantae; Streptophyta; Lycopodiopsida; Selaginellales; Selaginellaceae.
GAUAUUUGUUUAAAUUGAAAUCCGCAUUGCACAUGGUGAGAGUGAUGGAUGUCUUGCUGAUCAGGAGUUUCCUAGGGGACCACGAUACACGAGCCUUGCCAAGUACACGAGCAAUGAGGAAGAUGAACCUCCAGAUGGUGAUUGGAGGCAAGAGAAACUGAAGCUGCAGAAAGCUGAGGAGAAAGAAGCAAUGCUGAAAAGCAAAUGCUAAAGAUGUAGAAGAAACCCUGCAAAGGCCUAGAGGUGAUGGCAGAGUAGACUUGAUCUUUUCCCUGUUUUUCAGAUGC